RNAcentral lists this ribosomal RNA (383 nucleotides) under uncultured bacterium. RNAcentral describes it as "bacterial SSU rRNA". It matches the Rfam family "Bacterial small subunit ribosomal RNA", at positions 30 to 412 of the family's 1533-position model. The record is from RNAcentral.
AUUGAACGCUGGCGGCAUGCCUUACACAUGCAAGUCGAACGGCAGCACGGGGGCAACCCUGGUGGCGAGUGGCGAACGGGUGAGUAAUACAUCGGAAUGUACCCAGUAGUGGGGGGAUAACUAGUCGAAAGAUUAGCUAAUACCGCAUACGCACUAUGGUGGAAAGCGGGGGAUCGCAAGACCUUGCGCUAUUAGAUGAGCUUGCGUCCGAUUAGCUAGUUGGUGGGGUAAAGGCCUACCAAGGCGACGAUCGGUAACUGGUCUGAGAGGAUGAUCAGUCACACUGGAACUGAGACACGGUCCAGACUCCUACGGGAGGCAGCAGUGGGGAAUAUUGGACAAUGGGGGCAACCCUGAUCCAGCCAUGCCGCGUGUGUGAAGAA